GUGAAUCAUCGAAUCUUUGAACGCACAUUGCGCCACGUGGUAUUCCACGGGGCACGCCUGUUUGAGUGUCACGUAAACCCAUCGCGUCGUGGACUGUCAUGGUCUGCGGGGCGGAUUUGGACGUUGCCGGAGCUCACGCUUCGGCUCGUCUCGAAAUGCAUUAGCUGUCUGACGACGCGCGCCGCUGGUGUGAUAAUUUCUUUGCGCCUUGGCAAGCAUCCGAAGUAAGCUCAUAAUCGUCCGCAAGGACAAUUUAUUAAAGCUCUGGCCUCAAAUCAGGUGGGACUACCCGCUGAACUU
Molecule: unclassified non-coding RNA, 300 nt
Filed under: uncultured Auriculariales
Lineage: Eukaryota; Fungi; Basidiomycota; Agaricomycetes; Auriculariales
Description: sequence contains 5.8S rRNA gene, ITS2
Rfam family: 5.8S ribosomal RNA (bases 1-71)
Source: RNAcentral